This 582-nucleotide ribosomal RNA is filed under the name uncultured bacterium. RNAcentral describes it as "bacterial SSU rRNA". It matches the Rfam family "Bacterial small subunit ribosomal RNA", at positions 55 to 616 of the family's 1533-position model. The record is from RNAcentral.
AUGCAAGUCGAGCGGAAACGGCAACAUUGACUCUUCGGAUGAUUUGUUGGACGUCGAGCGGCGGACGGGUGAGUAAUGCUUAGGAAUUUGCCCAGUCGAGGGGGAUAACUAUUGGAAACGAUAGCUAAUACCGCAUACGCCCUACGGGGGAAAGAGGGGGACCUUCGGGCCUCUUGCGAUUGGAUAAGCCUAAGUGAGAUUAGCUAGUUGGUGAGGUAAGAGCUCACCAAGGCGACGAUCUCUAGCUGGUCUGAGAGGAUGAUCAGCCACACUGGGACUGAGACACGGCCCAGACUCCUACGGGAGGCAGCAGUGGGGAAUAUUGCACAAUGGGGGGAACCCUGAUGCAGCCAUGCCGCGUGUGUGAAGAAGGCCUUCGGGUUGUAAAGCACUUUCAGCAGUGAGGAAGAUGUGUAGAUUAAUACUCUGCAUAUUUGACGUUAGCUGCAGAAGAAGCACCGGCUAACUCCGUGCCAGCAGCCGCGGUAAUACGGAGGGUGCGAGCGUNAAUCGGAAUUACUGGGCGUAAAGCGCAUGCAGGUGGUUUGUAAAGUCAGAUGUGAAAGCCCGGGGCUCAACCUC